AGGACGAACGCUGGCGGCGUGCUUAACACAUGCAAGUCGAGCGGUGAUCCUCCUUCGGGAGGUGAUCAGCGGCGAACGGGUGAGUAACACGUGGGCAACCUGCCCUCACACUGGGAGUAACCUCGGGAAACCGGGCUAAUACCGGAUACGACCUCGAGCGGCAUCUCUUGAGGUGGAAAGCUCCGACGGUGAGGGAUGGGCCCGCGGCCUAUCAGCUUGUUGGUGGGGUAAUGGCCUACCAAGGCGACGACGGGUA
RNAcentral lists this ribosomal RNA (256 nucleotides) under uncultured bacterium. Its description in RNAcentral is "partial small subunit ribosomal RNA". It matches the Rfam family "Bacterial small subunit ribosomal RNA", at positions 26 to 285 of the family's 1533-position model. The record is from RNAcentral.